CGUGGACCCCCCGGCUUUGUGUCUGUCGGUGUCGGCGUGUUUUGUCCCGGUUCAGGCUCCUCUGAAAAACGGCAGGGAGGAACGAGAGGCGGACACCAGCCCCAUGCUCCACCUCCUUGACAGGGGUUUUCCUCCUUCUCCUCCCCUUUCUCCCUCCGGCUCUCCGCGGCCCUCUCUCCUCCCUCUCCCCUCCCUCUCUCCACUCGGGUCUCCGGGUUUCUCUCCGGUGUCACGUUACUGCCUCUGCCUGGGGAGGGGCGGGGGGCGCGGCGAUGAUUCGCAACGAGGAAGAAAGUUUCUGGGUGUUUUUUCCUUCCCCCUUUCGCUACAAUCUGGCCUCCGUGCCUGCGCCACCAGCGACCUCUUGGGGGCCCCGCUGACUUCCCUCUCGUAAACAGUCACGGGCAGGAAGAAGCACGACUUCUUUUACUGUGCAUUUCAUUGCAGAAGCUCGGUUCUCCUUCUGCGUCCCGAACUGUUCGCCGACGGCCGAUCACAGGCACCGGGAUAGAGAUUCAAGACUUUGCUGCGAUGGUGAAAGAGCAAGUGGUGUAAAUUAGAAUUCAACGCUCCCCGUAGGGCCAGGCUUUCGCCCGGACUCCUGAGCAGAAACAGCUUUCUUCUCGCUUGUUCCUCGUGCUGCAGCUACUCAUCCACGGUAGCGACCAGAGAGAGACAAGGGUGCGAGGUACGAAGAGACUCAAGGAGGUCAUGCCGCUAGCAGAUGCAAAGGGGAAAGACCCUACACUCCCACUUCAUCCUGCCUCCCUCCCUUCCAAGGGAAAGUAACUCCUGGACCUGGGCAGAAAGGCUGCAGCAAAUACAGAUCAGCUGAUGGGAAUGGAUGGGCCAUGCAGGAAAGGGCUGCCCUCAUCAGCCACCCUUUUCGUAAGAAUCAUUUACUGCUCUGUAUAGAAGCUGUAACACCUGAGGCUUUAGUGACUUGUCCAAGGCCACAAGGGCUACUAGCAAUCGGCUUGGGAGCUGCAUUCAAACCUGUUUGAGCCUGGAGCUCACUAUACUAACCACUACACAGAACUGUCACCCAGCCAGGGCCCUUUUGUCUCACGAUUUGCAGGGUGAUUAGAGGGUGAGAUAGAACUCAUUUAGCCCAGGCCACAGUGAGAAACGGAAACCUCAGCUUUUGAUGCUUAUCUCUCUCUCCCUACUCACUCUGUACUGUAGCUGACAACCAGAUUGAAAGAAGAACCAGGAGUCAGGGACCAUGAUAACUCUAUGACUGUCCUGAAAACCUCUAUAAAGUCGGGGUAGCUGAAACAUUUUUAACGGAAAAUUAGGGAAUAGGAUCCUGAGAUCAAAAGCUUACAAUUUAAGAAUAAUUUGGUUGAACCAAAACCCAUAUGACAGAAAUCUGAGCAACCAUGAGGUUAUAACAAGAAGAAAGGAAAUAAACAUCUCAAAAUAAA
Molecule: long non-coding RNA, 1427 nt
Organism: Myotis brandtii (Brandt's bat)
Lineage: Eukaryota; Metazoa; Chordata; Mammalia; Chiroptera; Vespertilionidae
Exons: 2
Source: RefSeq, a predicted model, not a curated record